AAUUUUUUUUUGUUUUUUUCAUCUUCUCAACUGUCUAUCUAUCUAUCGGAACAAAAUCACCAAAUGAAUAUUCUUCUUUCUCACCUAACCAUCACUGUCAAAAGCUCCAUUUUUUAACAUAUUGGAGCUAUUCCGCAGAGUUAAUUACCGGAUCUGUAAUCCUCCUCAUAAGUACUCUCUGUUGGACUGCAUUAUUUCACGAUGUAGACACCGUUGUCGAUGACCACCGUGUCGGAAGUCAUCAUCGCCGCCGCGAGGGUUAUUUUUUACCUCAUUUUUUCAUAUAAGAUCGAUGCAUCAUGAAUCUUCCGAGGAUUCACUUAAGACGCGAAGCAAAGAAUGAGUUAAAACAGUUGUAAAGCGGAGGCAGUUCAAGAUUUUCUCCUCAAAGACCCAACUUUCAAGAUCAGUAUUUGAUGUUGAUAAUAGCCCGAAAUCUUUGCUGCUUUUAAGUGGAAUAACAAUGUGCCUGGUUUAUAUGAAUUAAAGGCUCUAGAAAUCAUUGCAAAGAUGUAACAAAAAAAAAUCAAUGCAAAGGAAGAGAAUGGCAAGAGGAAAUGAAGAUUGGUCAUUGAGUUCUCUGCCUAAUGGUGAAGGAAAGAGGGCAAGAGAAUUGAGUGAAAUUGAAAGGAAUGAAGGGCAAUUUAUAUUGUUUAGAUUUUGUACAAAUAAGACCAAAUUGUCCUUCUACUUGCUCUCCAAGUUUUGUAUUAACAUAAUUUAUUUAUUAAUUUUAAGUAAUACAUUGAAUCUGGACAA
Molecule: long non-coding RNA, 759 nt
Organism: Trifolium pratense (red clover)
Lineage: Eukaryota; Viridiplantae; Streptophyta; Magnoliopsida; Fabales; Fabaceae
Exons: 4
Source: RefSeq, a predicted model, not a curated record